Molecule: ribosomal RNA, 232 nt
Filed under: uncultured bacterium
Lineage: Bacteria
Description: partial 16S ribosomal RNA
Rfam family: Bacterial small subunit ribosomal RNA
Source: RNAcentral
UGAGUAACCUGCCCUUAACUCUGGGAUAAGCCUGGGAAACUGGGUCUAAUACCGGAUAUGACUCCUCAUCGCAUGGUGGGGGGUGGAAAGCUUUAUUGUGGUUUUGGAUGGACUCGCGGCCUAUCAGCUUGUCGGUGAGGUAAUGGCUCACCAAGGCGACGACGGGUAGCCGGCUGAGAGGGUGACCGGCCACACUGGGACUGAGACACGGCCCAGACUCCUACGGGAGCAG